CCAGAGCACAGGGACUUGGACACCAGACUGGGGCUGUUGGAUGGGAUGUCCCUGGAGCCUCAGUGACAUUUGCCUGCGAGCUGACUUCAACGAAUGAAACAGAGGGGAAUGAUUAAGAGGUGGUGUCCAGAGACAAAACCAAAGCCAGAGGAAGGCAGACAGUCUACCCAGUGAUUGGAGAGGGACGCAUGGAAGGGAGUCACCAUGGCGACUGGGCCAAUGCCUGAUGGUCCUUCUCAGAGGCCGCAUAGUGAGGUGUUCAAGCAGUUUCUGAAGCCAGGUUUACUGGCUUUCAAUCCUGACUUCAUGGCUUACUCUCUGAGAGACCCAGAGACAGUUACUUGACCUUCUUGUUUUACAAUUUCCUCAUGUUUAAAACGUCAUUGAUUAUUAUGGUACCCACCUAGGAUACCAUACCAUCCUAGGAGUAGAUUGUACAAUUGAGUUAGUGUGGGUAAAGUGCUAUGAAUAGUUUCUGGCACAUUGCACUGCCAUUCCUCAGCCCAUUCCAGACAGAGCAGAAGAGAGAAAAGAAGAAAUAAAGCAAAAGAAACAAGAGAGAGUAAAAGAAGCUCCCAUGGUUUUUCUCUGAGAAUUUCACUGGGGAUCUAAUUUUAAAGAAGGGGACAUGAAGAUUGAAGAAAGAACACAUAAUUUCAACCAUUUUGUUAAAUGAAAUUUGUUGGCUCUAUAAAAACGCUUCUGUUUUGGUUAUGUCCUCUAGUUUUCCCUGGUUUUCCUUACAAAGAAUAAUAAUUCUGUUCUGUCCUCUCCAUCCCAGACUCUAAAUAUUCUUUUUUUUUCUCGUCCAUGAAAGCAAAACUCCUAGGCUACAUCCCGUGUAACUCCAGCAAUGUGAGCAAGCUUUUGUUCCCAGUAUUGGCAGCAUUUCCCCCGUCGUUUGUCCCCCUGCCUGUCUGCAGGUCUCGGAGCAGCUCUGCUGUCGGAGAUCGCAGGGAGUUGGUGGAUUCAAGCCAUGGGGCUUCUUUUAUGAGCCAAGUGCAGAGAAAGGAGCUUUUCAUAUGCUCCAGCCUGCAGUCAGGUACUCCCUGGUGGGCUUCUCACAAAGCCUAGGCCCUGGAGCUCUUCCCUGGAGUUUGCAUUUGUUUCCUUAUAGGGCACGUUCCUGGCGAUGGGUAGGAGGAAAUGGCAGCCCAAAUAAGCAGCUCCCUCUGCAGCCACUCUGGGCUGGUUCCCUGCUCAGCCCAUAGAAGUCACUGGUUUGACCCAGUCCUCCCUAAAGCCAGCCUGAGUUCUUUAUUAGUGAGCAUGAAAAAUGCUUCAAUCAUAGCACCAGAUGGUACCCAAACCAAUUUGGAUUGUCAGCUGAGGCCUACUCAUUUCCAAGGGCUUGGUCUAACAUCAGUGUUAUUUCCCUCAGUGCCCAUCUAGCCCUAAAAGAUGAUCUUGCUCAGAUGAUUUUGAUGAGAAAUAAUAUUUUACUCUACACAGGACCACAGUCAUUACUUCUUUCCAUCUUUAUUAAUUCAUUCAACAAGCUUUUAUUGAGUGCCUGCUGUGUGCACUAAGCAUUUUAGGGCAUACCAAAGAGAAAUUCUUUUCUGUAUAAUAGAUAUUUGUUGAGAAUCUACUAUGUAUGUGGCAAACAUGAUACUAGAUAAUGGACAUAUAAGUCACUAAGAAGAGGUACUUUCCAUUACUCAUAGACGUAGAGAGAUGAAGAGUGCAGUUACACAACGGGUACUGGGAAAGACAAGUAACCCAAUGUCCUGUCUUACCCGCUUUCAAUUUUGCUACUUGAACUAUAAACAAAAUUUAAUUUGGUUCUCUAUUCUCUCAAUCUUCCUAAAAAGAAUUUGCCAAUAACAUUAAUAUACCACUUAGGCAGGAAGGAUGCUGGAAAGAGUCACUGAUUCUGUUCUCUUCUACCUUACCACUCAAGGAAUGGUCAAUGCACUGUCAAUGGCAUCUCCUGGGAACUUGUUAGAAGUUCAGGUCCCACUCCAGACCUGAUGGAUUAGAAUCUGCAGUUUUAAUAAGAUCCACAGGUGAUUUAUCUGCCCGGGGAAGUACUGCUCUGCUAGUUAUUUGUGCCUGAGGUAUUCCAACAAUGAUGGUGGGCUCAGUGAAAGAUCACCACAUUUAUUUUUUCAGUGAAUAUUUAUUGAGACCAACAACUCAGUAUCUGCUAGUUACAUAAUCACUUUAUUUUUUUAAAAAAAGGUGCGGCCAUUCCUUACACAUGAGUCACUGAGUUUUGGACUAUGUAACCUUGACAUGAGUGCCACUGUUGAUUGGACAGAGAUCCGGAUUUAAACCAAAAGCAGCCAUUGAUGAGCCAGUGACCUUCACAGUAUUCUGGCCAGAAAACUCUCUGAAGCAUGGUUGCAUUGUAUUUUGCAUAAAUAACUUAGAGGCAUUUUCCUAGGGAAUUCAAAAACUCGAUAGGAUUGAUGUUCACCAUAAGUAGAGUUAGAGAGACUUAAAAAGAAGCAAGCAGGAACCAUCAGGUUGAGAGUAGAUAGAGAAUAGGAGAAAAAAUUUCAGGUCCAUAUCACUGUUUUGUGUGUGUGUGUGUGUGUGUGUGUGUGUGUGUGUGACUGAGUCUCACUCUAUCGCCCAGGCUGGAGUGUAGUGGCGUGAUCUUGGGUCACUGCAACCUCGCCUCCUGGGUUCAAGUUAUUUUUGUGCCGCAGCCUCCUGAGUAGCUGGGAUUACAGGCGCCUGCCACCACACGCAGCUAAUUUUGGUAUUUUUAGUAGAGACGGGCUUUCACCAUGUUGGCCAGGAUGGUCUGGAGCUCCUGACCUCAGAUGAUCUGCCCGCCUCCGCCUCCCAAAGUUCUGGGAUUACAGGCAUGAGCCACUGCGCCAGGCAAGUAUGAGCAUUUUUAAGGGUUCACUUAGAAAAUUACUGGAAACUUCAUAUACAUGUCACCAUUAGUCUUCAGAGCACCACUGAAAGGCAAAUGUUCCAAAUGUAUGUUUUCAGUGGGCAAUGUAGACUCAGAAAAUAGAGGUAAUUUGCCUAUGAUCACUCAACUGUAGAAACAUCAGAAUUUGAACCCAGUUCUAACAUGUUUGAAAGCCCAGACGUGCAUUUUUUCAUGUUAUCUUCUUUCAGCUUAUUGCCUGCCGUUUUUUUUUUUUUCUUCUUCUUCAUUCCAGUCCUUUCUGGGAGUAUUCUGUGGCUAUUCAGGUUCCAGGGCAAAACUAUGGGCACAACUUGCUCUCCAGAGUGACAUAAAGGAAGUGGUUCAGUGCCCUUGUGAGGCUCAGGAGAGCUACUUCUGCACCUACCACCAUAAGAAGGUGCUGGGGGAAUUAUGAGAUGAAUCCUGGCUUGCUCCUUUCUUUAAGGAGCUUAUAAUCUUUUUGAUGAAAAGAAGUCUGAAUUUUUUUUUAAAAUGAUUAUGUAAGUUAGUGUGUUUGAGGAUUUAUAAACUUAAGGCAGGUGGUAGGAUUUUAGUGAGGCCUUAGAAAGACUUGAGAUACAUGAAGAGGAGGGGCCAUGCCAGUCUGGGGCUACAGUGUGAGCAAAGGCAGGAAAGAACCUGUUGAGGUAUGAGAUGGAAAAGUAAAUCAUCUGCUCCUAUUUCUCAAAAAACAUCUAAUUCAGGCUCAGUGAAUGCAUGCUAUAUGAAGAAUAUAUGCAUGGUAUGUGAAGAAUAUAUGCAUGGUGUGUGAAGAAUAUAUGCAUGCUAUAUGAAGAAUAUACACAUGCUAUAUGAAGAAUAUACACAUGCAAUGUGAAGAAUAUACACAAGCUAUAUGAAGAAUAUACAAAUUCUAUAUGAAGAAUAUAUGCAUGGUAUGUGAAGAAUAUAUGCAUGCCAUAUGAAGAAUACAUGUGUGCUAUGUGAAGAAUAUACACAUGCUAUAUGAAGAACAUAUGCAUGCUAUGCAAAGAAUACAUGCAUGCUAUGUGAAGAAUACAUGCAUGCUAUGUGAAGAAUAUAUGCAUGCUAUGUGAAGAAUAUACACAUGCUAUGUGAAGAACAUAUGCAUGCUAUAUGAAGAAUAUAUGCAUAGUAUGUGAAGAAUAUAUGCAUGCUACAUGAACAAUAUAUGCAUGGUAUGUGAAGAAUAUACAUAUGUUAUAUGAAGAAUCUGUAGGUCCAGUCGGUGACUGGAGAGAGACUUAUGGGUCAGAGUGAGACUUGUGAAGAACCUGAAUCAUGAUAGAAAAACAAAAAUCAAUGGGUUGAUAGGUGUGGACUGGCAGGAGGUGUAUGUGAGUCAGAAGGAGUGCCUCAAAUUGUGUCUACACUCAGGAGACUGGGUGGACUAGGAAGUAGGUUGAUGAAAGUCACCUCUCCUUUUCACCACUGUUAGGAAGGGGAGGGGUCUAGUGGUUAAUCACUUCAUAGGUUUAUUCUUGGAGAAGAUGGGGGUUCUACCAUGUGAAAUGUGUCAAAAUCUAAUUAUAUGUGCCAAAGACUAUUUGUGCUCAACAAAUAUCCAUUGCUCCCUAUAUUUCUUGGUUUCGAGGAGGUGCUUGAGUUUUGUCCAGUGGGCUGCAGUCGGAAGUCAUGUAACUCUCUUCUGAGCCUGACCCAUAAAGCAUCCCAUUCAUCCUUCAACUCUUUCGUGCCCUUCUUUAAUAAUUUGGAGGUCACAUGUUCCAGAUAGUGUAGCUGUGGAAUGGAAGGCUGCCUCUUGAGCAUUGGGUUUGAAAUAUUCAUGCUGAGCUGCUGAAAGUUUGGAGUUUGGUGGUUGUCACAAAGAGUUCCAGCCUUCUCUGACUAAUACAGAUGUGGUUUUUGUUGUUGUUGUUGUUGUUGUUGUUUUAGACA
Molecule: long non-coding RNA, 4756 nt
Filed under: Homo sapiens (human)
Lineage: Eukaryota; Metazoa; Chordata; Mammalia; Primates; Hominidae
Description: HSALNT0016717
Source: RNAcentral